AGUGAACGCUGGCGGUAGGCCUAACACAUGCAAGUCGAACGGCAGCACAGUAAGAGCUUGCUCUUACGGGUGGCGAGUGGCGGACGGGUGAGGAAUACAUCGGAAUCUACUUUUUCGUGGGGGAUAACGUAGGGAAACUUACGCUAAUACCGCAUACGACCUACGGGUGAAAGCAGGGGAUCUUCGGACCUUGCGCGAUUGAAUGAGCCGAUGUCGGAUUAGCUAGUUGGCGGGGUAAAGGCCCACCAAGGCGACGAUCCGUAGCUGGUCUGAGAGGAUGAUCAGCCACACUGGAACUGAGACACGUUACAGACUCCUACGGGAGGCAGCAGUGGGGAAUAUUGGACAAUGGGCGCAAGCCUGAUCCAGCCAUACCGCGUGGGUGAAGAAGGCCUUCGGGUUGUAAAGCCCUUUUGUUGGGAAAGAAAAGCAGCAGGUUAAUACCCCGCUGUUCUGACGGUACCCAAAGAAUAAGCACCGGCUAACUUCGUG
This 492-nucleotide ribosomal RNA is filed under the name uncultured bacterium. RNAcentral describes it as "partial 16S ribosomal RNA". It matches the Rfam family "Bacterial small subunit ribosomal RNA", at positions 29 to 507 of the family's 1533-position model. The record is from RNAcentral.